AUUGAACGCUGGCGGCAGGCCUAACACAUGCAAGUCGAACGGUAACAGGAAGAAGCUUGCUUCUUUGCUGACGAGUGGCGGACGGGUGAGUAAUGUCUGGGAAACUGCCUGAUGGAGGGGGAUAACUACUGGAAACGGUAGCUAAUACCGCAUAACGUCGCAAGACCAAAGAGGGGGACCUUCGGGCCUCUUGCCAUCGGAUGUGCCCAGAUGGGAUUAGCUAGUAGGUGGGGUAACGGCUCACCUAGGCGACGAUCCCUAGCUGGUCUGAGAGGAUGACCAGCCACACUGGAACUGAGACACGGUCCAGACUCCUACGGGAGGCAGCAGUGGGGAAUAUUGCACAAUGGGCGCAAGCCUGAUGCAGCCAUGCCGCGUGUAUGAAGAAGGCCUUCGGGUUGUAAAGUACUUUCAGCGGGGAGGAAGGGAGUAAAGUUAA
This 439-nucleotide ribosomal RNA is filed under the name uncultured Escherichia sp. Its description in RNAcentral is "bacterial SSU rRNA". It matches the Rfam family "Bacterial small subunit ribosomal RNA", at positions 30 to 463 of the family's 1533-position model. The record is from RNAcentral. Lineage: Bacteria; Pseudomonadati; Pseudomonadota; Gammaproteobacteria; Enterobacterales; Enterobacteriaceae.